GAUGAACGCUGGCGGCGUGCCUAAUACAUGCCAGUCGAGCGAACGGACGAGAAGCUUGCUUCUCUGAUGUUAGCGGCGGACGGGUGAGUAACACGUGGAUAACCUACCUAUAAGACUGGGAUAACUUCGGGAAACCGGAGCUAAUACCGGAUAAUAUUUUGAACCGCAUGGUUCAAAAGUGAAAGACGGUCUUGCUGUCACUUAUAGAUGGAUCCGCGCUGCAUUAGCUAGUUGGUAAGGUAACGGCUUACCAAGGCAACGAUGCAUAGCCGACCUGAGAGGGUGAUCGGCCACACUGGAACUGAGACACGGUCCAGACUCCUACGGGAUGCAGCAGUAGGGAAUCUUCCGCAAUGGGCGAAAGCCUGACGGAGCAACGCCGCGUGAGUGAUGAAGGUCUUCGGAUCGUAAAACUCUGUUAUUAGGGAAGAACAUAUGUGUAAGUAACUGUGCACAUCUUGACGGUACCUAAUCAGAAAGCCACGGCUAACUACGUG
RNAcentral lists this ribosomal RNA (497 nucleotides) under uncultured bacterium. RNAcentral's name for it is "partial 16S ribosomal RNA". It matches the Rfam family "Bacterial small subunit ribosomal RNA", at positions 28 to 507 of the family's 1533-position model. The record is from RNAcentral.